This 434-nucleotide ribosomal RNA is filed under the name uncultured bacterium. Its description in RNAcentral is "bacterial SSU rRNA". It matches the Rfam family "Archaeal small subunit ribosomal RNA", at positions 723 to 1153 of the family's 1478-position model. The record is from RNAcentral.
ACUGAAUAGAUACCCAGGUAGUCCCAGCCGUAAACGAUGCUCGCUAGGUGUCAGGCAUGGCGCGACCGUGUCUGGUGCCGCAGGGAAGCCGUGAAGCGAGCCACCUGGGAAGUACGGCCGCAAGGCUGAAACUUAAAGGAAUUGGCGGGGAGCACAACAACGGGUGGAGCCUGCGGUUUAAUUGGACUCAACGCCGGACAACUCACCGGGGGUCGACAGCAAUAUGUAGGCCAAGCUGAAGACUUUGCCUGAAUCGCUGAGAGGAGGUGCAUGGCCGUCGCCAGUUCGUACUGUGAAGCAUCCUGUUAAGUUCAGGCAACGAGCGAGACCCGUGCCCACUGUUACCAGCAUGUCCUCCGGGUACGAUGGGUACUCUGUGGGGUACCGCCUAUGUUAAACUAGGAGGAAGGUGCGGGCCACGGUAGGUCAGUAUG